GGGUUGUGAGGUUAAGCGACUAAGCGUACACGGUGGAUGCCCUGGCAGUCAGAGGCGAUGAAGGACGUGCUAAUCUGCGAAAAGCGUCGGUAAGGUGAUAUGAACCGUUAUAACCGGCGAUGUCCGAAUGGGGAAACCCAGUGCAAUUCGUUGCACUAUCGUUAACUGAAUACAUAGGUUAACGAGGCGAACCGGGGGAACUGAAACAUCUAAGUACCCCGAGGAAAAGAAAUCAACCGAGAUUCCCCCAGUAGCGGCGAGCGAACGGGGAGCAGCCCAGAGUCUGAAUCAGCUUGUGUGUUAGUGGAACGGUCUGGAAAGUCCGACGGUACAGGGUGAUAGUCCCGUACACCAAAAUGCACAGGCUGUGAACUCGAAGAGUAGGGCGGGACACGUGGUAUCCUGUCUGAAUAUGGGGGGACCAUCCUCCAAGGCUAAAUACUCCUGACUGACCGAUAGUGAACCAGUACCGUGAGGGAAAGGCGAAAAAGAACCCCGGCGAGGGGAGUGAAAAAAGAACCUGAAACCGUGUACGUACAAGCAGUGGGAGCACCUUCGGGUGUGACUGCGUACCUUUUGUAUAAUGGGUCAGCGACUUAUAUUCUGUAGCAAGGUUAACCGUAUAGGGGAGCCGCAGGGAAACCGAGUCUUAACUGGGCGUUAAGUUGCAGGGUAUAGACCCGAAACCCGGUGAUCUAGCCAUGGGCAGGUUGAAGGUUGGGUAACACUAACUGGAGGACCGAACCGACUAAUGUUGAAAAAUUAGCGGAUGACUUGUGGCUGGGGGUGAAAGGCCAAUCAAACCGGGAGAUAGCUGGUUCUCCCCGAAAGCUAUUUAGGUAGCGCCUCGUGAACUCAUCUUCGGGGGUAGAGCACUGUUUCGGCUAGGGGGUCAUCCCGACUUACCAACCCGAUGCAAACUACGAAUACCGAAGAAUGUUAUCACGGGAGACACACGGCGGGUGCUAACGUCCGUCGUGAAGAGGGAAACAACCCAGACCGCCAGCUAAGGUCCCAAAGUCAUGGUUAAGUGGGAAACGAUGUGGGAAGGCACAGACAGCCAGGAUGUUGGCUUAGAAGCAGCCAUCAUUUAAAGAAAGCGUAAUAGCUCACUGGUCGAGUCGGCCUGCGCGGAAGAUGUAACGGGGCUAAACCAUGCACCGAAGCUGCGGCAGCGACACUAUGUGUUGUUGGGUAGGGGAGCGUUCUGUAAGCCUGCGAAGGUGACCUGUGAGGGUUGCUGGAGGUAUCAGAAGUGCGAAUGCUGACAUAAGUAACGAUAAAGCGGGUGAAAAGCCCGCUCGCCGGAAGACCAAGGGUUCCUGUCCAACGUUAAUCGGGGCAGGGUGAGUCGACCCCUAAGGCGAGGCCGAAAGGCGUAGUCGAUGGGAAACAGGUUAAUAUUCCUGUACUUGGUGUUACUGCGAAGGGGGGACGGAGAAGGCUAUGUUAGCCGGGCGACGGUUGUCCCGGUUUAAGCAUGUAGGCUGGUUAUCCAGGCAAAUCCGGAUAAUCAAGGCUGAGGUGUGAUGACGAGGCACUACGGUGCUGAAGUAACAAAUGCCCUGCUUCCAGGAAAAGCCUCUAAGCAUCAGGUAACAUCAAAUCGUACCCCAAACCGACACAGGUGGUCAGGUAGAGAAUACCAAGGCGCUUGAGAGAACUCGGGUGAAGGAACUAGGCAAAAUGGUGCCGUAACUUCGGGAGAAGGCACGCUGGUGUGUAGGUGAAGUCCCUGCGGAUGGAGCUGAGACCAGUCGAAGAUACCAGCUGGCUGCAACUGUUUAUUAAAAACACAGCACUGUGCAAACACGAAAGUGGACGUAUACGGUGUGACGCCUGCCCGGUGCCGGAAGGUUAAUUGAUGGGGUUAUCCGUAAGGAGAAGCUCUUGAUCGAAGCCCCGGUAAACGGCGGCCGUAACUAUAACGGUCCUAAGGUAGCGAAAUUCCUUGUCGGGUAAGUUCCGACCUGCACGAAUGGCGUAAUGAUGGCCAGGCUGUCUCCACCCGAGACUCAGUGAAAUUGAACUCGCUGUGAAGAUGCAGUGUACCCGCGGCAAGACGGAAAGACCCCGUGAACCUUUACUAUAGCUUGACACUGAACAUUGAGCCUUGAUGUGUAGGAUAGGUGGGAGGCUUUGAAGCGUGGACGCCAGUCUGCGUGGAGCCAACCUUGAAAUACCACCCUUUAAUGUUUGAUGUUCUAACGUUGGCCCCUGACCGGGGUUGCGGACAGUGUCUGGUGGGUAGUUUGACUGGGGCGGUCUCCUCCCAAAGCGUAACGGAGGAGCACGAAGGUUAGCUAAUCCUGGUCGGACAUCAGGAGGUUAGUGCAAUGGCAUAAGCUAGCUUGACUGCGAGCGUGACGGCGCGAGCAGGUGCGAAAGCAGGUCAUAGUGAUCCGGUGGUUCUGAAUGGAAGGGCCAUCGCUCAACGGAUAAAAGGUACUCCGGGGAUAACAGGCUGAUACCGCCCAAGAGUUCAUAUCGACGGCGGUGUUUGGCACCUCGAUGUCGGCUCAUCACAUCCUGGGGCUGAAGUAGGUCCCAAGGGUAUGGCUGUUCGCCAUUUAAAGUGGUACGCGAGCUGGGUUUAGAACGUCGUGAGACAGUUCGGUCCCUAUCUGCCGUGGGCGCUGGAGAAUUGAGGGGGGCUGCUCCUAGUACGAGAGGACCGGAGUGGACGCAUCACUGGUGUUCGGGUUGUCAUGCCAAUGGCACUGCCCGGUAGCUAAAUGCGGAAGAGAUAAGUGCUGAAAGCAUCUAAGCACGAAACUUGCCCCGAGAUGAGUUCUCCCUGAGACUAUAAGUCUCCUGAAGGAACGUUGAAGACGACGACGUUGAUAGGCCGGGUGUGUAAGCGCAGCGAUGCGUUGAGCUAACCGGUACUAAUGAACCGUGAGGCUUAACCUUACAACGCCGAAG
This 2925-nucleotide ribosomal RNA is filed under the name Klebsiella pneumoniae. Its description in RNAcentral is "bacterial LSU rRNA". It matches the Rfam family "Bacterial large subunit ribosomal RNA". Lineage: Bacteria; Pseudomonadati; Pseudomonadota; Gammaproteobacteria; Enterobacterales; Enterobacteriaceae. The record is from RNAcentral.